Sycon ciliatum is the source of this 751-nucleotide long non-coding RNA. RefSeq lists it as uncharacterized. The transcript has 2 exons. NCBI's taxonomy places the organism in Eukaryota, Metazoa, Porifera, Calcarea, Leucosolenida, Sycettidae. The record is from RefSeq and is a predicted model, not a curated record.
ACGAAUGAAGCAAGCCUGAACAGAAUGAAAGUUUCGGAGGCAUCAAUGGACUUGAUCCAGUAUUGCAUAGACAAUCAAGCGGAGGACUGGUUUGUGUCCACUGUAAUGACCGUCGAGAACCCCUUCAAGUCGAUGAAGGGCCAGUGUGUUGUGCUAUGAACACUCCACUCGGUGGCAGCCCGUUUUAUGUGCCAUGGGAUCACCAAUGCACAGCAUCAGCUACAGACAGGCUCUGCUCACAGGCACUUCACUCGCUGAUGCUGCGUUCUGUAGCGUGUUUGUUUAUCUGUUUGUCCCCCCCCCCCCAAACUAUGGGACUGUGAUGCCAAGUCAUAUCAACAGAGCGGCCCAAUAGAGAUGCUAUAUCUGACAUAGAAAUCUGACACACUUUGUUUUUAUUUUGGUCUACUUGCAACUGGAUUAGAUGCAUACUGGUUGGCACCCUGACAAUAUAAUUGUUAUACUGUAAGGUCGAAUCAGAACCUCUCUCCCUCUCUCUCUGUCAUUGCAGACAUGCACAGUGAUGUCGACCUUUUCUUUUGCUCCUAAAACCAAUCAUUCCGAAAAGAAAGUUUUGCCGUUCUGUUUUUGUGUUUUCCACAUCGCUGUUGUUUGAUCAAUCCAUUAGCACAUUUUGGUGGGCAAAUGUAAUAUAUUAGCCAGUGCUACGUAUUACCUCUGUACAUUCACUGUGCAUCUAUAGUCAUUCUAUAACUAGAACAGUAGAACUAGAUGUGUAUACCUCAGCGUA